This 61-nucleotide ribosomal RNA is filed under the name Plasmodium falciparum 3D7. RNAcentral describes it as "Plasmodium falciparum rRNA SSUF". The record is from RNAcentral. Lineage: Eukaryota; Apicomplexa; Aconoidasida; Haemosporida; Plasmodiidae.
AAACAGUCGGUGCGAAGUCGUAACAUGGUAGUUGACAGUGAACUUGUAGCUGAACCAAAAA